ACGGAAGGCAGCAGUGGGGAAUAUUGCACAAUGGGGGAAACCCUGAUGCAGCGACGCCGCGUGAGUGAUGAAGUAUUUCGGUAUGUAAGGCUCUAUCAGCAGGGAAGAUAAUGACGGUACCUGACUAAGAAGCACCGGCUAAAUACGUGCCAGCAGCCGCGGUAAUACGUAUGGUGCAAGCGUUAUCCGGAUUUACUGGGUGUAAAGGGAGCGUAGGCGGUACGGCAAGUCUGAAGUGAAAUCCCAGGGCUCAACCUUGGAACUGCUUUGGAAACUGUCGAACUAGAGUGUCGGAGAGGUAAGUGGAAUUUCUAGUGUAGCGGUGAAAUGCGUAGAUAUUAGGAGGAACACCAGUGGCGAAGGCGGCUUACUGGACGAUUACUGACGCUGAGGCUCGAAAGCGUGGGGAGCAAACAGGAUUAGAUACCCUGGUA
Molecule: ribosomal RNA, 434 nt
Filed under: uncultured Pseudobutyrivibrio sp.
Lineage: Bacteria; Bacillati; Bacillota; Clostridia; Lachnospirales; Lachnospiraceae
Description: partial 16S ribosomal RNA
Rfam family: Bacterial small subunit ribosomal RNA
Source: RNAcentral